GCAUGUUUUUAACAGCCCCGCAGAACUCAUUAGGUGCCCUAGGGUUGAGGAUUUCUGCUUACGAAUAAGGCUUGUAUUAUUAAGUCUGUAUUUUCUUUAAACCACUCCUUUCAGGAUUCUAUUUUGUAUAACCCAAUAAUUAACUCCAAUAGACUAAUCCAUACCAAGGCACUGUGUGUGUGUGUGCCACCCAAGAAAGAGAUCAAGCUUCUCCAUCAACCUUCUAACUUACCUUCCUUCCAUAAAGACACUGAUAGAAGAUCACACCCACCGACCACACAUCAACUUUAUUUGAGAUCUUUGGUGGUUCUUUCCCAACCACAAAACACUCUGGUGGUAAAUACCUGGUUUGAGGUCAUAGUGUAUGAUGGGAGGUUUUAUUUCAUUUAAGUACUUUAAAGCAUUCACAAUCUGCAUGAUAAUGGACCGGGCCUCUUUCUCCGACAUUAAUUUGUGCUGUUUCAGGUAGAAGUCCAGAUCAUUUCCCUCACAGUAUUCUAAUACUGUACAAAACC
Molecule: long non-coding RNA, 515 nt
Filed under: Homo sapiens (human)
Lineage: Eukaryota; Metazoa; Chordata; Mammalia; Primates; Hominidae
Description: non-protein coding lnc-MARCH10-5:1
Source: RNAcentral